RNAcentral lists this ribosomal RNA (433 nucleotides) under uncultured bacterium. RNAcentral describes it as "partial 16S ribosomal RNA". It matches the Rfam family "Bacterial small subunit ribosomal RNA", at positions 29 to 507 of the family's 1533-position model. The record is from RNAcentral.
AACGAACGCUGGCGGCAGGCCUAACACAUGCAAGUCGAGCGAGGACUUCGGUCUUAGCGGCGGACGGGUGAGUAACGCGUGGGAACGUGCCCUUUGCUUCGGAAUAGCCCUGGGAAACUGGGAGUAAUACCGGAUGAGCCCUUUGGGGGAAAGAUUUAUCGGCGAAGGAUCGGGCCGCGUUGGAUUAGGUAGUUGGUGGGGUAAUGGCCUACCAAGCCGACGAUCCAUAGCUGGUUUGAGAGGAUGAUCAGCCACACUGGGACUGAGACACGGCCCAGACUCCUACGGGAGGCAGCAGUGGGGAAUCUUAGACAAUGGGGGAAACCCUGAUCUAGCCAUGCCGCGUGAGCGAUGAAGGCCUUAGGGUUGUAAAGCUCUUUCAGCUGGGAAGAUAAUGACGGUACCAGCAGAAGAAGCCCCGGCUAACUCCGUG